CAGAGUUCUGGCCAGGGCUGCGGGAAGGAAAGGGGGCGGCGUCCUUCACAGGGAGGGUGCAGCUGACCUCCCUCCGCUUGUGCAGAUUGGAAAAGAAUGGCCCAGAUCCUCUGGGCUCCUCAAAUGAGCGGAUUCAGAGAGAAGCUUUUGAGAGAGUGCUGGCAAAGAUAUUUUUCACAAAAGAACUCUUGAGGUGCUCGUGUCCAUGGCGUGCCUGGGGGGAAAAUGAGCUUAUAUAUGAAGAAGUCAGUGAGUGGACAAAGCCAGGCGCAAUGGAUAGCAAUUCAAGUUAGAAGAAAACUGCAGCACGGAGUCUGCUCUCAGCUGUUUGGGAAUUACUGAUGCCUUUGACUAAGUCAAGACUGACUUUUCCAGAAUAUCACCAAGACAUAGAGCCGUCCCUGUCCAAGUUUGUGCGCUAGCCCUUCAUGGAGGUCAGAGAGGAAGGCACAAAGGCAGCUGUGGCCUUGGCGGUCACAGUGUCAGAAUGUGCAAGCCCCAUAGAGAGGUUUCACGCAGGCCACCCAUCCCUUUUCAUUCUCCAGCAGAACAGGACAGAGAGCAUUCUGUUCUGCAGAAGGUUUUCCAUUCUACAAGGCAAUCCCUCCAGCUGCUUUGCUGUAUUGUGCUGUCUCCUGUCACACUAUGAAUGCAGGGACCUCAGCCAGCAGCAGGGAGAACCCCCCUGCCCCCCGAACAAAGGACCUCAUGUGAAAUCCUGAGCUCAGAGCUUACAGAUAUGUGUGCACUUUCACUUUACAUAGGCUGUGACUUUCAAACAACUUCAGGAAACUUUAGGAUCUCUGAGGUAUACUGGAGAUUAUAGCAGCGUAGAAUGUUCAUUUGGAUUUAGAACAAAAAUGCUUAUUUUAUAUUUGGCUGCUCCCAAACUGUCCCCAAACUUCCUCUCCAGCGGUUACCCCUCCACUGCCCUGGAUGUCCCACAUUUACACUCA
This 956-nucleotide long non-coding RNA is filed under the name Pongo abelii (Sumatran orangutan). RNAcentral describes it as "lincRNA". The record is from RNAcentral. Lineage: Eukaryota; Metazoa; Chordata; Mammalia; Primates; Hominidae.